RNAcentral lists this ribosomal RNA (520 nucleotides) under Agononida polycerta. RNAcentral's name for it is "partial 16S ribosomal RNA". It matches the Rfam family "Bacterial large subunit ribosomal RNA", at positions 1829 to 2597 of the family's 2925-position model. Lineage: Eukaryota; Metazoa; Arthropoda; Malacostraca; Decapoda; Munididae. The record is from RNAcentral.
GUCUGUAUGAAGUUAUAUAGAGUCUGACCUGCCCGUUGAAGAAAUUUGAAAGGCCGCGGUAUAUUAACUGUGCAAAGGUAGCAUAAUCAUUAGUUUUUUAAUUGAAAGCUUGUAUGAAGGGUUGGACAAAGAAAAAACUGUCUUUAAUUUUGGGUUUGAAGUUAACUUUUAAGUGAAAAGGCUUAAAUAAAUUUAAGGGACGAUAAGACCCUAUAAAUCUUUAUAUCAGGAUAUUUUCUUAAAAAUUAAUUUUUUUUUGUCUAGAAAAAAGUAAAAUAGAUGAUAUUUUGUUGGGGUGACGAGAAUAUAAUUUUAACUGUUCUUAAAUAAAACAGAGGUAUUUGUUUUAGUUUAAUGGAUCCUUUUUAAAGAUUAAGAGAUUAAGUUACUUUAGGGAUAACAGCGUUAUUUUUUUUGAGAGUUCUUAUCGAAAAAAAAGUUUGCGACCUCGAUGUUGAAUUAAAAUUUCUCUACGGUGCAGAAGUUGUGGUGAGAAAGUCUGUUCGACUUUUAAAAUUUU